UUUAAAAAUAAAAAAGCAGUUUUUUUGAAAAAUUCAUAACUUUUUUUUGGUUGGGUGAAAAAAUUUGAAUAAAUUAUGAGAGACGUUUUUGAUAGGGUAGAAAAGGAUGGUAAACUUUCAGCCAAAUCAAAAGUGGUCAAGGUCAAAAGUGGUCGAUUUGGCCGUAAGCUGGACG
Long non-coding RNA from Cotesia glomerata, 175 nucleotides. RefSeq lists it as uncharacterized. NCBI's taxonomy places the organism in Eukaryota, Metazoa, Arthropoda, Insecta, Hymenoptera, Braconidae. The transcript is spliced from 3 exons. The record is from RefSeq and is a predicted model, not a curated record.